GGGGCUGUGGCUCAGCGGUAGAACAUCUGCUUGGGAAUGCAGAAGGUCCCAGGUUCAAUCCCUGGCAUCUCCA
Non-coding RNA from Euleptes europaea (tarantolino), 73 nucleotides. NCBI's taxonomy places the organism in Eukaryota, Metazoa, Chordata, Lepidosauria, Squamata, Sphaerodactylidae. The record is from the annotation of a RefSeq genome assembly.